Molecule: non-coding RNA, 29 nt
Filed under: Mus musculus (house mouse)
Lineage: Eukaryota; Metazoa; Chordata; Mammalia; Rodentia; Muridae
Source: RNAcentral
AUUUGAGACUGCUGAUCUCCCUAUGAGGU